Molecule: long non-coding RNA, 1974 nt
Organism: Oreochromis aureus
Lineage: Eukaryota; Metazoa; Chordata; Actinopteri; Cichliformes; Cichlidae
Source: Ensembl
CUUCUCUUUAUUGUCUAAUUUGUCCAACACAUUCAUCAUUCUUAAAGUUUCACAGUACAGCAGUUCAAUAAAACCGCGACUCAUUGGACAAUAAAUCAUUUACAUUAAAUCGACGCCUUAAUUGUCUUUACAAAACACAUUAUGACAUUUUUAUUAAUUAUGUAAACGUUACAGAGGCAACUCUUUUUAUGUAAUUGUCAGAAAUUGUAGGCAGUAGUAAAUUCAAAAAAAAAAAAAAAAAAAGCUCUUUUCACAUCUUUUGGAUGGAUACAAAAAAGAAACAAAAAAAGAUACAACCAGUAAAUUCAAGUGGAAAAGAUUCAAACAGCUGAAGUGUAGCUCACAUUAUUUGACCUGCACUGAGGAUUUCUGGGACUCUGAGCUGCCGGUUUCCACCAAACCUGCAGGAAAUUAAUUUAAAGAAAAGAAACUUGACCCAACUGAUUCUCAUCCCAGCACUGAAGACUCAACAGCUUCCAGAGAAAAGAUGAGGCGUUUAACAACUUGCAUCCAAAUUAGCUGCACUGAGAUGUGUGUAGAUGUGAAGGGAGGAAUGAGUCAAAAUAAGGUUUAAAACUUAUGAAGAUACAAAAAAAAAAAAAAAAAAAAAAAAAAAAAAAAAAAAAAGCGCUAUGAAAUAACCUGGAUUAUGAGAGUGUGCAAAUCCACAUGACGAGAAAAGCAACCCGAGUGCCUGCAGUUAGUAAAAACCUAACCUAAACACUGCAGCGCUCCUCAUCGUUCCUGUUCCACUACAUUUCCACCAAUCACCCACAGAGUCCAUCUGAACAUCCAACACAACCUCACCUCUGAAUGCCUCAAAAACCCAAAGUGCAGAAAUUCAAACUUAAUCCAGUCUGGAGCUCAUUUCUUUCUGCUAACAGUCUUAAAACACACACAAACAUGCAAAAAUUAUAAAUGUGCGUCAUUUCUUUAAAAACGGUUUCUCUAGAACAGAUGACUUUCCAAAUCUCAGUCUAAGCACCCACACGCCACACUGUAAACUUCAGUAGUGCUUUUAAAAUCAAACUCCUUCACAUUUUAAUCAUUUCCUGAAUCAUGUGAUUGAGUUUUGACACGUUAUCCCUUUUCCUCAUUGAAGCCCCAUUCACACGGCUUUUCUUUGAUGGAGAUGCGACAGUUUUAUUCGUCUUACAGUAUGUAAACGUCACUUCACUCCAAGCCUCCCGUGGAUAAAUGCUCGUUCAGCCCUUCCACUGAAAGCAGAGGAAGCUGAAACACCUACAUACAGCUGUGCUGGGGACUGGUAAGUCGAUGCACUUAGGAAAUCUGAAGUUGAAGUCAUUCAUGCAUAACUGGAAUGUGAGCUACAAACAGCAACUGCUCUCAUUAAACUGCAUUUUAAUAACUACAUAAUUCAAAUAGAGCAACAAUUAGUCCAACUGGUGCCACUAAAGGUGGAAAUUAGCAUUAGCAACUGCUUUCUUUCAUCAGCUGGAGAGAGUAAAUGAAGCCCACGCUAAUUAUUCUCAGUAACAUGUUAACACAUGAACAUUUGCUUUCUGUUACAGCAUUUGCCUCAGACUGUGUGUAAGCUCUGUUGCUGUAGUUGGAGGAGAGCAGCCUGUCAGUCCCUGCAGAGAGGCAGUCAUCGUGUCGCUCUCAGGUCGCAGACACGAAAAGGUCAAAAAUAUUUGAGAUGGAGAGAACAAACACAGCAAUCCUUGGAUAAGUCCAAUUUCAACCAGUCUGAAAACACAGCACAGGUCCCAGAGCAGGCGCUGAUGUGGUCAGAAACUGCUCACCGGCACCAGUUUAUGAUUGGUUAAAUGUAACGUACGUCUGUAUGUGUGCAAGAAAUAUGCAUAUGCAGUUUCAGGGAGCUGCAGGUUCAGCUGGAGCCUUUAUGUACUGCAGCAGGGGUCACGGGGUGAACGGAAGGAUGUGCAGCAGCCUACAACACACAGUGGAGAAAGAUUUUACUGGCAAUACAUUUAAAAAUGCAAUAUCUAC